RNAcentral lists this ribosomal RNA (535 nucleotides) under Phyciodes pulchella. Its description in RNAcentral is "partial 16S ribosomal RNA". The stretch from base 398 to 535 matches the Rfam family "Archaeal large subunit ribosomal RNA", at positions 2542 to 2680 of the family's 2987-position model. The record is from RNAcentral. Lineage: Eukaryota; Metazoa; Arthropoda; Insecta; Lepidoptera; Nymphalidae.
UCAAAAACAUGUCUUUUUGAUAAUAAUUUAAAGUCUAAUCUGCCCACUGAUAUAAAUAUUAAAGGGCUGCAGUAUAUUGACUGUACAAAGGUAGCAUAAUCAUUAGUCUUUUAAUUGAAGACUUGUAUGAAAGAUUUGAUGAAAUAUAAUCUGUCUCUAUAUUAUUAAUAGAAAUUAAUUUUUUAGUUAAAAAGCUAAAAUAAUAUUAAAAGACGAGAAGACCCUAUAAAGUUUUAUAAUUUAUUUAUUUAUCAUUAAUUAUAAAAAUAAAUAUGAUAAUUAAAUAAAUUAUUUUAUUGGGGUGAUAGAAAAAUUAAAUAAACUUUUUUUAAUAUAAAACAUAAAUAAAUGAAAAAUUGAUCCAUUAAUAAUGAUUAAAAGAAAAAAUUACUUUAGGGAUAACAGCGUAAUAUUUUUUUUUAGUACAAAUAAAAAAAAAAGUUUGCGACCUCGAUGUUGGAUUAAGAUAAAAUUUAAAUGCAAAAGUUUAAAAUUUUGAUCUGUUCGAUCAUUAAAAUCUUACAUGAUCUGAGCU